AUGUCCAGCCAGUUUUCCACCCCUUCAUCCCCAUCACGGGCAGGACAACCGCAGCAGCCUCAGGGUCAGCGAAGAACUCCAAGUGUGAACCCGUUACUCCUUAUCCUAUCACUACAGCGACAGAUGAAGAGUCCCUUUCUGCCUGCCCUGUAGCUCCUUCAGAUUCUGUACUGCAAGAGUGCACAUCACCUUACAAACACAGAGGAUGACACGGGCCUGCCCCGAGGAGUUUACAAUUCCACUUCAAACAAACACUGCAAAAAAUUCUGUGGACAGGAAAAGGUGGGAGAGGUAAUGCUGGCAGGGUAAAGAGUUUUCUGAAAGAGGGGAUUGUCUCCAGAAUAAAAAGCAGGUGACAGAGGGUCAGGCACAAGGAAGUGACAAACAGCAGUAGGACGACAAUGUGGAGCACAGGACACCUGGUAAAAACAGAUUGUGCAAAGACAGGCUGGCAGCACAUGGAGGAAAACAGGGACCUGUGGGCUUUAUAAUUAACAUGUAAGACUGCAGCUACAUAACACAUCAUUGUUUCAAUAACAUUGUGGAUUAUAAAUCAGAAGUGGCCUUUUUGUUUUUAAUUAAAAAAAAUAAAAAACCCAAACCAGUCUGUUCCCAUCAGGAAUUCUACUGUAAUACUAUUUUCCAUUAUGAGCACUAAACUGGGUGUAGGGGAAUACCAAAAAGCUCUGCAGAUGCAGAAAAAAAAAAAAAAAUCAAAGGGGGGGAAAAAAAAAGAGUAGCAAAUAUGUGUAAUUUAAAGAAAUCAUUCAUUUUACCCUACAGUAUCUGCUUUAAAUUUUGUAGCAUAUUUUCCAAAUUCAUCAGCCUGUCAAGAGGGAAAUCUCCUACUUGAAAAUAGUGUAGUGAUUUAUGGACAUAGUUAAAAUCUCAUUAUCCUGCAAUUUUCCUUUGCAGACAGAGCAUGAAGAGGCCAGGUUCUGCUGUGAGAGUUGAACAUUUCAGUUGCUGUAGCAGCAUUGCAGUGAAGUUGGUGUCUCAGCAAGAUUUGCCCCCUUUUCUCUUCGCAGACAUCUGUGUCCAGUUUCAUCUCAAGGAUCCAGAUAUAGCUUUACUCAGUGACUGUCACAGUGUAAGGGUCCUAUUCAGCAGAACAGCACAGAUUUUCUCUGCUCCUUCUGACAUAGUGCCAUUGCAUUAGUGCUAUAAAGGCUGUGUCAACAGGGCUUAGGUUCUGACAGAUUAGUGAAAGCAAAAAGCUGUCACCCUCCCUUCCCCACUCUGUGAAUUCCUUUUUUUUUUUUAGUACAAAUGCAUAUUAAAUGUAUGUGAGAGGCUGGGAGUAGUGUCUCCAGAAGGUGCAAUCACUUUGCACAGCAACACCUUUGACUCUUGAGGUACUCACAGGUCAGGUUUCUGCUUCCUUACAUUCAGCUGGGGUUGCUUCCAUGGAGAUCUUUCCCAUGGCCACCCUCCUUGCACUUCCCAUAUGGAUCAGGGUAAGGAGGUACAAAAGACAUAAAAACCCCCAAGUCCUACAAAUUCAGCAUUCAGGAAUUAUGAGAGCAGUUAAACACAUUGACCCAUAUUUGAAUUAUACAGAUAAAUGCAUUUUUGAUGCUAACUGCUGUGACUCUCCAGUCCACGGUCGCCCAUUUAUUUUUUUCCCCACAAGGUGGCUCAUGCACACAGGGAGUGCACCAGGAAUUGUCUUGGUCCUGGAAACACUCAGCUGAGAAAGCAGCAAUGCUGCUUUCCACUGCAAAUGUAUAUAACCAAUAAUUCUAUUUCCCUAAGCAUCAAAGGACAAGGCAAACUGCCCCUGAUCAACCACGUGUGACACAACCACCCCAGCUGUGUUUCUGCACUGGGUCAGACAAUGUGUAGAAGAAGCUGAAGGCAGACUCUUGCCCUCCAUUGACCCCACUGCUGCAGGAGGUGCAGCUCUGAAGCACUUAUGCCACAAUCAGUAGUGUGUUUGCACAUCUUGCAUGCAGAUGCAGGUUUUUGAUAGAUAAAUUUGAGCCUGCUCUUGAAAUCAGUUUGGUUCACAAUUGUCAAAAUAAAUUCCACCCCAUUAGAUCAGACCAGUGUUUCACUUCAGCCCAGCAUGUUUCCUCCAGCUUUGACCAAUUCUUCAAGACAGAACGCAGAUAAGUAUCUAUCUUUCCUUGGCAUAGCUUUCUUAUUUACAGCAACUUAAAGUCUCCCUGAGUUAGUGGAUGCAUCAUACCAUUG
Ficedula albicollis (Collared flycatcher) is the source of this 2196-nucleotide long non-coding RNA. RefSeq lists it as uncharacterized. The transcript is spliced from 3 exons. NCBI's taxonomy places the organism in Eukaryota, Metazoa, Chordata, Aves, Passeriformes, Muscicapidae. The record is from RefSeq and is a predicted model, not a curated record.